GACGAACGCUGGCUGCGUGCUUAACACAUGCAAGUCGAACGGAAAGGCCCUGCUUUUGUGGGGUGCUCGAGUGGCGAACGGGUGAGUAACACGUGAGUAACCUGCCCUUGACUUUGGGAUAACUUCAGGAAACUGGGGCUAAUACCGGAUAGGAGCUCCUGCUGCAUGGUGGGGGUUGGAAAGUUUCGGCGGUUGGGGAUGGACUCGCGGCUUAUCAGCUUGUUGGUGGGGUAGUGGCUUACCAAGGCUUUGACGGGUAGCCGGCCUGAGAGGGUGACCGGCCACAUUGGGACUGAGAUACGGCCCAGACUCCUACGGGAGGCAGCAGUGGGGAAUAUUGCACAAUGGGCGGAAGCCUGAUGCAGCAACGCCGCGUGCGGGAUGACGGCCUUCGGGUUGUAAACCGCUUUCGCCUGUGACGAAGCGUGAGUGACGGUAAUGGGUAAAGAAGCACCGGCUAACUACGUGCCGGCAGCCGCGGUGAUACGUAGGGUGCGAGCGUUGUCCGGAUUUAUUGGGCGUAAAGGGCUCGUAGGUGGUUGAUCGCGUCGGAAGUGUAAUCUUGGGGCUUAACCCUGAGCGUGCUUUCGAUACGGGUUGACUUGAGGAAGGUAGGGGAGAAUGGAAUUCCUGGUGGAGCGGUGGAAUGCGCAGAUAUCAGGAGGAACACCAGUGGCGAAGGCGGUUCUCUGGGCCUUUCCUGACGCUGAGGAGCGAAAGCGUGGGGAGCGAACAGGCUUAGAUACCCUGGUAGUCCACGCUGUAAACGGUGGGUACUAGGUGUGGGGUCCAUUCCACGGGUUCCGUGCCGUAGCUAACGCUUUAAGUACCCCGCCUGGGGAGUACGGCCGCAAGGCUAAAACUCAAAGGAAUUGACGGGGCCCCGCACAAGCGGCGGAGCAUGCGGAUUAAUUCGAUGCAACGCGUAGAACCUUACCUGGGUUUGACAUGGAUCGGGAGCGCUCAGAGAUGGGUGUGCCUCUUUUGGAGUCGGUUCACAGGUGGUGCAUGGCUGUCGUCAGCUCGUGUCGUGAGAUGUUGGGUUAAGUCCCGCAACGAGCGCAACCCUUGUUCACUGUUGCCAGCACGUUAUGGUGGGGACUCAGUGGAGACCGCCGGGGUCAACUCGGAGGAAGGUGGGGAUGACGUCAAGUCAUCAUGCCCCUUAUGUCCAGGGCUUCACGCAUGCUACAAUGGCUGGUACAGAGAGUGGCGAGCCUGUGAGGGUGAGCGAAUCUCGGAAAGCCGGUCUCAGUUCGGAUUGGGGUCUGCAACUCGACCUCAUGAAGUCGGAGUCGCUAGUAAUCGCAGAUCAGCAACGCUGCGGUGAAUACGUUCCCGGG
This 1343-nucleotide ribosomal RNA is filed under the name uncultured bacterium. RNAcentral describes it as "16S ribosomal RNA". It matches the Rfam family "Bacterial small subunit ribosomal RNA", at positions 28 to 1378 of the family's 1533-position model. The record is from RNAcentral.